AUCGCUUCUCGGCCUUUUGGCUAAGAUCAAGUGUAAAUCCAGCAAAGAAAUAUUUUUCCAAAUCAAAUUGAUAGACUUGUAUUUAAGUUGGGAAAUAUGAGUCUUUUUAUAUCGUUAGAUUGACUUCAAUUGAGAGACUCUCAUA
RNAcentral lists this small nuclear RNA (145 nucleotides) under Myotis davidii. RNAcentral describes it as "U2 spliceosomal RNA". It matches the Rfam family "U2 spliceosomal RNA". From Rfam's summary of the family: U2 is a small nuclear RNA (snRNA) component of the spliceosome (involved in pre-mRNA splicing). Lineage: Eukaryota; Metazoa; Chordata; Mammalia; Chiroptera; Vespertilionidae. The record is from Rfam by way of RNAcentral.